Molecule: long non-coding RNA, 239 nt
Filed under: Elaeis guineensis (African oil palm)
Lineage: Eukaryota; Viridiplantae; Streptophyta; Magnoliopsida; Arecales; Arecaceae
Description: long non-coding RNA (EGUI_LNC053029)
Source: RNAcentral
AGGAAAAGCUGAGCUUGCUCAAUCAUUCCAUCAGCUCGAUCAUGUACAAUACAUGAUCAGUGACAGAGGCACCAUCCCGUAUUUUGGCGUUGAAGAUGGCACAACUAGUCUUGUGCCUCUCCACAUCAUCGGGUGUGCCAAAGGCAUCCUCCAACACUUGAAGCAUAUCCUUUGGCUGAGCCAUCUCGAAUCUGCGACUGAACUCAUUGCUCAUGGCAGCCAGCAUGAUACAGCGCACC